RNAcentral lists this ribosomal RNA (253 nucleotides) under uncultured bacterium. Its description in RNAcentral is "partial 16S ribosomal RNA". It matches the Rfam family "Bacterial small subunit ribosomal RNA", at positions 524 to 776 of the family's 1533-position model. The record is from RNAcentral.
UACGAAGGGAGCUAGCGUUGUUCGGAAUUACUGGGCGUAAAGGGCGUGUAGGCGGUACCAUAAGUCAGAUGUGAAAGCCCUAGGCUCAACCUAGGAACUGCAUUUGAUACUGUGGAACUAGAGAUCGAGAGAGGUAAGUGGAAUUACGAGUGUAGAGGUGAAAUUCGUAGAUAUUCGUAAGAACACCAGUGGCGAAGGCGACUUACUGGCUCGAUACUGACGCUAAGGCGCGAAAGCGUGGGGAGCAAACAGG